Non-coding RNA from Pelobates cultripes (western spadefoot toad), 1519 nucleotides. Lineage: Eukaryota; Metazoa; Chordata; Amphibia; Anura; Pelobatidae. The record is from the annotation of a GenBank genome assembly.
GUUACUGUCACUAUACCCCACUCCCUCUAACAUGUAAACUCACUGAGCAGGGCCCCCAAUCCCUCUGUUACUGUGUCACUAUACCCCACUCCCUCUAACAUGUAACUCACUGAGCAGGCCCUCAAUCCCUCUGUUACUGUGUCACUAUACCCCACUCCCUCUAACAUGUAAACUCACUGAGCAGGCCCUCAAUCCCUCUGUUACUGUGUCACUAUACCCCACUCCCUCUAACAUGUAAACUCACUGAGCAGGACCCUCAAUCCCUCUGUUACUGUGUCACUAUACCCCACUCCCUCUAACAUGUAAACUCACUGAGCAGGGCCCUCAAUCCCUCUGUUACUGUGUCACUAUACCCCACUCCCUCUAACAUGUAAACUCACUGAGCAGGGCCCUCAAUCCCUCUGUUACUGUGUCACUAUACCCCACUCCCUCUAACAUGUAAUCUCACUGAGCAGGCCCUCAAUCCCUCUGUUACUGUGUUACUAUACCCCACUCCCUCUAACAUGUAAACUCACUGAGCAGGGCCCUCAAUCUCUCUGUUACUGUGUCACUAUACCCCACUCCCUCUAACAUGUAAACUCACUGAGCAGGGCCUCAAUCCCUCUGUUACUGUGUCACUAUACCCCACUCCCACUAACAUGUAAACUCACUGAGCAGGCCCUCGAUCCCUCUGUUACUGUCACUAUACCCCACUCCCUCUAACAUGUAAACUCACUGAGCAGGCCCUCAAUUCCUCUGUUACUGUGUCAGUAUACCCCACUCCCUGUAGCAUGUAAACUCACUGAGCAGGGCCCUCAAUCCCUCUGUUACUGUGUCAGUAUACCCCACUCCCUGUAGCAUGUAAACUCACUGAGCAGGGCCCUCAAUCCCUCUGUUACUGUCACUAUACCCCAUUCCCUCUAACAUGUAAGCUCAUUGAGCAGGGCCCUCAAUCUCUCUGUUCCUGUGCAUCCAACUCGUCUGGUUACAAUUACAUGUUUAUUAGUCCACCCAUUGUAAAGCGCUACGGAAUUUGUUGGCGCUAUAUAAAUUUAAUAAUAAUCAAGCUGAUUUCUGGACUUGUUUUUGGGCAGUUAUCUGCUUUGCAUCAAAUUUGAGAUUUACUGGAUAGAUUAAGUGUGUAUAUUAAACAAAGUGCCUUUCGUGUCAUUUUUAAAUUCAUAAUCAAAUAACUGUCUUCAAAUUAAAGCAGAUUGGAAUGUAGACUGUAAAUAAAUGGCUUUGUGUGACUAAAGGGUUUCUAUUUCUGCAUUAUGAUUUCUAAAAAAAAUUAAAGGGACACUAUAGUCACCAGAACAACUACAACUUAUUGGUGAAUAGAAUCAUUCCCUUCAGGCUUUUUGCUGUAAACACUGUUUGUCCAGAUAAAAUGCAGUGUUUACAUUACAGCCUAUGGAUACCCCCACUGGCCACUCCUCAGACGGCUACUAGUGGCGCUUCCUGAGGCAGUGCUGCACAAUGUGAUUGACAUUCAGUGUCUCCACCCUCUGCAUGCAAACACUGAACUUUCCUAAUAGAG